AAAAUUCUGGUAAUGCACAGAAUGAGUUACCCUCCACUUAGAUGCUACUUUUUAUCUACACGAGUGCAACGCUGAAAUUCUGCUGAUGCCUAACAAGCGGGUUUCUUGGAAAUCUGCGUGAACUCUGGGUGUGGUGUCUUUGUUCUCUGACAGCUGGGGUGCCUGCGCCCUGGCCUUAUGGAAGGCCAUUGUCUUGUCCGUGUCCUCUGCAGGUCUGUGGGUUCUGGCACCACCUGAGCCCACUGGGCAUCUGGUCAUCCCUGGCACCUCUCCUUUGGAGCCACCUUGUCCCCGGCUAGACAGUCACAUUUUCCAGUGCCGUUUUGCAAAGAUGUUGCCUUUGGAGAAGGCGUUUUCCUCCCCCAGGAGCUCCCCAGCACCCCCGGAUCUGCCCACGCCAGGUUCAGCAGCCGGAGUCCAGCAGGAAGAACCCGAGACCAUCCCUGAGAGGACCCCUGCUGACCUGGAGUUCUCCCGCCUGCGUUUCCGGGAAUUUGUCUACCAGGAGGCUGCCGGGCCCCACCAGACCCUGGCCCGGCUGCAUGAGCUGUGCCGCCAGUGGCUGAUGCCUGAGGCGCGCUCCAAGGAGCAGAUGCUGGAGCUGCUGGUGCUGGAGCAGUUCCUGGGCAUCCUGCCUGAUAAGGUCCGGCCCUGGGUGGUGGCACAGUACCCUGAGAGCUGCAAGAAGGCAGCCUCCCUGGUGGAGGGCCUCGCUGAUGUCCUGGAAGAGCCAGGGAUGCUGCUGGGCUCCCCUGCGGGCUCAUCCUCAAUUCUUAGUGAUGGAGUGUACGAGAGGCACAUGGACCCUCUGCUGCUACCAGGCGAGCUCGCGAGCCCCAGCCAGGCCCCUGGAGCUGGGGAGAUCCCGGCACCUUCUGAGACACGUGAGUGCCCAGCCAGCCUGGCAGUCUCUGCUGGGCCUUAGGUGGGGUGGUGGGCAGAGGCCUGUGGUUGGGAGAGGGCAGGAGGGCAGCCAGGGAGUCAGGAGCCCCAUGGUCCAUACUAUCAUUGGGACUUCCUCUUGUAGUUCCUCUGAAUGUUAGACAUUGUUUAUUAAAUUGGUCUUCAGAGAUUAUGCAGAUCAUCCAUACUUACCACAAAUAGUGAAAACACAUCAAUACAUAAAGAAAAGAAUCUCCCAACCCCUCAUCAUGCACCCUCUGAAAAUAAAGGGUCUCGAGUGUCCUGAUGCAUGUCCCCUCAUGUCUCCCUGCACAUCACACAUGCACAAUCAGGGCCUGGGGUCGGGCUCUGUGUGUGUGUUGUGCUGUGUCUGAGUGCUUGCUGUUCGAGGGGUGGAUCCCCCAGGCUGUGGUUGGGUCUGGUUCUUUAGUUGCCCAGCAUCGCAUGCUCAGCCCAUCCCCAUCCUAGAGGUGGGCUCUCUGCCCCUUGGAGUGAAGAUGCCACGACACCUCCUGACUUGUGUGCCCAUAUGUGAGGCUCUGGGCACUGUGGGUGGGCUCCUCAGGACUGCUGGGUAAAUGGCGUGUGAGUUCGACAUUUCACAUAAAAUAGAAACUUCCAUGUGGUUUUCCAGAAGUUUUGUGGCUGUUCAUCACCAGCGUGGAAGGUGCCCACUGGCCCGGAUACAGCCCAGCACUAUGUGGUGUUGCUUUUUAGGAUUUCCACGAAGGCCAGGCACAGUGCCUCAUGCCUGUAAUUGCAGCACUUUGGGAAGCCAAGGCGGGCAGAUCACUUGAGCCCAGGCAUUUGAGACCAGCCUGGGCAACAUAGGGAGACCCCAUCUCUACAAAAAAUACAAAAAUUAGCCGGGUGCGCACUUUUAGUCCCAGCUACUUGGGAGGCUAAGGUGGGAGGAUUGCUUGAGUCCAGGGGGUGGAGGUUGCAGUGAGCCAAGAUCGUGCCACUGCACUCCAGCCUGGGUGACAGAGCAAGACCCUGUCUUUAAAAAACAAACCAAAAAAAAAAAGAUUUCCAUGAAUCCAGUGGACUUGAAUGGGCAUCUCUGGGGCCACCCAAGCCCUGGGGCCACCGCGCUGCUUUGUAAAUCAGGGACAGGUGUAGUGUCCAUUGAGCCUUGGGUGCUGCUGUCACAGAAGCACACUGGAGUCUGUGUGGGAGGCAGCGGGGGCUCCUUGACCCUUGGGGGCACCUGGACACAGGGAGCUCGUUGCCUCAACUAUGCCUCCCCUUCUCCCCAGCCUGGCUUUCUCCGGACCCCCUGUUUCUGGAACAGAGGAGGGUCAGAGAAGCAAAGACCGACGAGGCCAGCCCUGCCAACACUGAGCAGGUGGGUGGGCACGAGUCCCAGGGUGAGGGGCCUUGGCCUCAGCUUAGAGGCAUCCCCCUCCCCAUCACCAGUGCUCAGCAGAGGACUGUGGCCCCAAAUGUCCACAGCGCUGAGGCCCAGAACCCACCCGGGUGGGAACGUGAGGGUGGAUUCUUUGUGGUGUGAAGGGGGCUGCCUCCUGCAGUGCAUCUGGGUUAGAGUCCCUGGCCAGGGCUGGCUCCUAGCCUGCUCCUGUGGCUGUGGGGCUGCGGCGGGUCCUCCCUUCUCUAGGGCAGGUGGAAGGUCUCAGCCACGGCUGCACUAUUUCAGAAGCUGAAGUCCUUUCCAGAGGACCCUCAGCACCUGGGGGAGUGGGGCCACCUGGACCCUGCCGAGGAGAACCUGAAGAGCUACCGGAAGCUGCUCCUGUGGGGUGAGACUUGCCUGCCUCGGGCUCACGCCCCACUCCCCAUCCCCUUCUGCAGGGGUUGGUGCAGGAGACUGUGACCCCAGGGACUUUGGCUGGGACACUGUGAUGUCUUACAUGGAUUUGAACUUGCACGUGUUGGAGCUUGAAUUUAUUCGCUGAAGCCCCCACCCUUUCUGAUCUAAACAUCUGAGUUCUGCCCAGGCCCUGCCUGUAGGACUGAAGCCUUGGAAUUUGGAAAGGCCUCCUGGCCCCAAGGCGCCCACAUUGCCACCCUCCUUGCCAGAGACAGGGCCUCACCUGCAUGGCCUGAUCAAGGGUCUCCUCUUUUGUAGACGUUCUUGCCCCAGAAACCCUCCUUUUACGGAGGCCCCCCCACUCAGACUCCUGAGCAAUUUUUGUCUUAAUGUCUUUCUUUAGCUUUGCUUUCCCUGAGUCCUGCCUCUGCCUGCCCCGUCGCCCUUCCACCCUCACCUUCUUUGCUCCACUGUCCAGGGGCCUAACAGGAAGGUGGCCUUGGUGGGGGUCCCAGUACAGAGAAGAGGAGGUGGGCUGCAGCCUGCCCUGGCUGGCCCACGACACACAACACCCAUCAGCUACUCUGUGUUGAUGCCUCUUUUAUUUCUUUGGUUUUUAACCCCACUCAGGGUAUCAGCUUUCCCAGCCUGACGCUGCCUCCAGGCUGGACACUGAGGAACUCCGCUUGGUGGAAAGAGAUCCACAAGGAAGCGGCCUCCCAGGUGAGGUUGGGUUGAAUUGGUGUUAGGGCCAGGUGGGGUUUGCUUUUUCUUCAGAGGCUGAGGGGGCCCCUCCCAGCGCCAUCAGCCCCAGCAAAGACCUCAGCAUCGACUGCUUCACCAUUCUCCCACCACCGUGUCUGAGUGAGGCAGGAAUCCAGUUACGUCCAUAGUCUCUUGCUGCAUGACAGACCACCCCAAGACUUGGUCAGUGGAAAUGGCAGUGGUGUUAGUUGCCAGGAUCUGUGUAUGACUGGUCCCGGGGGUGGCCGUUCUGCCCCAUUGGAGGCUCUGUGCCAUCACACCAACAAGAACACCUAGAGGCAGACUUGGGCUGGAGGGCCCUGGGUGCCUGUAGCCAGGGGGCUUGUCGCUGGGGGGUUUGGCCUUAGCUAUUGACCCCACUCUCUUCGCUGGCAGCCGGGCCCCUCCCUCCAGGAGGGUGCGCUCUGAGCAGGCUCUCCUUGCAUCGUGCGUCUCGUGGCCAAGCUAGUGGCCGGGUGACCUCCAAAGGCGCGGUUUCCAGAGCCCGGGCUCAGUGGGGCUGUCCUUCCUGUCCUGUCGGUGGCCUCCGUUGUUGGAGGCCUCCAGGUCCCACAUCUGCAGCAGCAGGCGUGGGGCGUGCGCUGCAGGGCUGCCUGGGAGGGACAGCGCUGCUUCCAAACAGCCGUGAGCCCCGCGGGGAUCCAGAGUCCGGAGCCCUGUGCGCUGUUCCUGCAGCUGAGGCUCAGCUGGGUCCUCCUCUCCCUGGCCCUGGGCGGGGCGCUCAUGCUAGGACUCUGACCUUGUUCCAGAAGGCGGGAGGCAGCAGGAGAGCGCUGGGUGCGCCUGCGAGGAGGCCGCCCCCGCGGGGGUGCUGCCUGAGCUGCCUACGGAGGCGCCCCCUGGGGACGCCCUUGCCGAUCCCCCGUCGGGCACCACUGAGGAGGAGGAAGAGCAGCCUGGGAAGGUCCCGGACCCGCAGGACCCCCAAGACGCGGAGUCCGACUCUGCCACCGGAUCGCAGAGGCAGUCCGUCAUCCAGCAGCCUGCCCCGGACAGGAGCCCGGCGAGGCUGGGAACCAAGAGGCCGCACCCCGAGGAUGGGGACGGGCAGAGCCUCGAGGGCGUCUCCAGCGCCGGCGACAGCGCAGGGCUGGAGGCCGGGCAGGGCCCCGGGGCUGACGAGCCGGGCUUGUCCCGCGGGAAGCCCUAUGCCUGCGGCGAGUGCGGGGAGGCCUUCGCGUGGCUCUCGCAUCUCAUGGAGCACCACAGCAGCCAUGGCGGCCGGAAGCGCUACGCCUGUCAGGGCUGCUGGAAGACCUUCCACUUCAGCCUGGCCCUAGCCGAGCACCAGAAGACCCACGAGAAGGAGAAAGGCUACGCGCUGGGGGGUGCCCGGGGCCCCCAGCCGUCCACCCGCGAAGCCCAGGCGGGGGCUAGGGCGGGCGGGCCCCCAGAGAGCGUGGAGGGCGAGGCUCUCCCCGCACCCCCAGAGGCGCAGAGGUGAGCGGCUGUGCUGUCCCGUCCCGGAGGGGCCUUCCUGCAGGCCAUGAAUCCCAGACGAGGCAUUGGGCCUUUCCACGCCCCUGGGUGGCGGCUUCCUGUGGUGUUUGUGGACGUCCUCUGCCUGUGCCCUGAAUCCGCUCCUGAGGCUAAGCGCUCCCAACGAGAAGGGUCCACGGGAAGCCCUCACCUCUGUAAACACACCCUGGGCCAGCGGUCGCAUCCGAGGGGAGCCGCUGAAUGUGGAAGAAGACUCUGCUUUCUUGCAGCCAUUUAGUGCCGCCCCAUGCUAGGUUAUUUGACAUUGUGCAGUGUAGAGUUGCCUUAAAGUGCGUGAUCUGCCAGUGCUUUCUUCAAGUCACCCUUGCCCCGAUUCCUCCUGUUUGCGCUCCCCAGGGUUGCUCAAGUGGAAAUUUUGUCAGCUGUUUAGCCUUUUCGUACUUGCGUGAUGUCAACUUCACUUCUAAUCUGCAAAAGCAGAAGCUGUUUCCUAGUUUACCUCACGUGUCUUUACCUGUAUGGAGUAGCUCGCAGAGAUCACAGAAAUGCUUGCAGCCUAAAGCAGGGUUUUCAGACCGUGGGUCCCAGCCCAUUAGUAAAAUGGGAAAUCAAUUAGCAAGUGGCCAGCAGCAUUACACAGCAAUGAAGCAGAAUAAAGUAGGCCAGAAUGCAUCAUGUAGUAAAGGCAAAUACUGUUUUGUGAAACUUUUCACCCAUACAUCUAAAUGUGAGAACUGGUUGCAAUGUAAGACGUAUUUCUUGCUGGGAAGUUGUGAUCAAAAUAAGUUGAAAACACUAAUAAAGAUCUGUCUGUCUGAGCAAAGGAGACUAAACUCCUUGGGCUAC
This 5725-nucleotide small RNA is filed under the name Pongo abelii (Sumatran orangutan). Its description in RNAcentral is "retained intron". The record is from RNAcentral. Lineage: Eukaryota; Metazoa; Chordata; Mammalia; Primates; Hominidae.